CCUACGGGUGGCUGCAGUGGGGAAUUUUGGACAAUGGGGGCAACCCUGAUCCAGCCAUGCCGCGUGCGGGAAUAAGGCCUUCGGGUUGUAAACCGCUUUCGGCCGGAACGAAAUCGCCGGGGAGAACAUCCCCGGUGGAUGACGGUACCGGAAGAAGAAGCACCGGCUAACUACGUGCCAGCAGCCGCGGUAAUACGUAGGGUGCGAGCGGGGAUCGGAAUUAGUGGAGGCGAAGCGUUCACAGGCGGUUGAAAUCCCCGGGCUUAACCUGGGAACUGCGUUUGUGACUGGCGGGCUGGAGUGCGGAAGAGGGAGGUGGAAGUCCACGUGUAGCAGUGAAAUGCGUAGAGAUGUGGAGGAACACCGAUGGCGAAGGCAGCCUCCUGGUCUAGCACUGACGCUCAUGCACGAAAGCGUGGGGAGCAAACAGGAUUAGAUACCCCUGUAGUC
RNAcentral lists this ribosomal RNA (450 nucleotides) under uncultured bacterium. RNAcentral's name for it is "partial 16S ribosomal RNA". It matches the Rfam family "Bacterial small subunit ribosomal RNA", at positions 338 to 795 of the family's 1533-position model. The record is from RNAcentral.